Molecule: transfer RNA, 72 nt
Filed under: Camelus bactrianus (Bactrian camel)
Lineage: Eukaryota; Metazoa; Chordata; Mammalia; Artiodactyla; Camelidae
Also listed under: 2 other names
Rfam family: tRNA
About the family: Transfer RNA (tRNA) molecules are approximately 80 nucleotides in length. Their secondary structure includes four short double-helical elements and three loops (D, anti-codon, and T loops).
Source: Rfam by way of RNAcentral
GAAGGCCUAGCUCAGUGGUAGAAUGCAUGCUUAGCAUGCAUGAGGUCAUAGGUUCAAUCCUUAGUAUCUUCA